ACGAACGCUGGCGGCGUGCCUAAUACAUGCAAGUAGCACGCUGAAGGAGGAGCUUGCUCUUCUGGAUGAGUUGCGAACGGGUGAGUAACGCGUAGGUAACCUGCCUGGUAGCGGGGGAUAACUAUUGGAAACGAUAGCUAAUACCGCAUAAGAGUAGAUGUUGCAUGACAUUUACUUAAAAGGUGCAAUUGCAUCACUACCAGAUGGACCUGCGUUGUAUUAGCUAGUUGGUGGGGUAACGGCUUACCAAGGCGACGAUACAUAGCCGACCUGAGAGGGUGAUCGGCCACACUGGGACUGAGACACGGCCCAGACUCCUACGGGAGGCAGCAGUAGGGAAUCUUCGGCAAUGGACGGAAGUCUGACCGAGCAACGCCGCGUGAGUGAAGAAGGUUUUCGGAUCGUAAAGCUCUGUUGUAAGAGAAGAACGAGUGUGAGAGUGGAAAGUUCACACUGUGACGGUAUCUUACCAGAAAGGGACGGCUAACUACGUG
This 494-nucleotide ribosomal RNA is filed under the name uncultured bacterium. Its description in RNAcentral is "partial 16S ribosomal RNA". It matches the Rfam family "Bacterial small subunit ribosomal RNA", at positions 29 to 507 of the family's 1533-position model. The record is from RNAcentral.